RNAcentral lists this ribosomal RNA (253 nucleotides) under uncultured bacterium. RNAcentral's name for it is "partial 16S ribosomal RNA". It matches the Rfam family "Bacterial small subunit ribosomal RNA", at positions 524 to 776 of the family's 1533-position model. The record is from RNAcentral.
UACGGGGGGGGCAAGCGUUGUUCGGAAUUACUGGGCGUAAAGGGCUCGUAGGCGGCCAACUAAGUCAGACGUGAAAUCCCUCGGCCUAACCGGGGAACUGCGUCUGAUACUGGAUGGCUUGAGAUUGGGAGAGGGAUGCGGAAUUCCAGGUGUAGCGGUGAAAUGCGUAGAUAUCUGGAGGAACACCGGUGGCGAAGGCGGCAUCCUGGACCAACACUGACGCUGAGGAGCGGAAGCCAGGGGAGCAAACGGG